AGCGCCAAGUGAGGCCAAAAAGUGGUGGACGUUAUGCAAGGAGAAAAAGAUCAACAAAAAUCAUGUACGGGAAAGGGAUUGCUUGUGUGUCAGGGGAGCCGGGAAUUGGCAAGACAGAACUUCUUCUGGAAUUUGCCUAUAGAUAUCAACAGAGGUACAAGAUGGUUUUAUGGAUUGGAGGAGAAAGCAGGUAUAUUAGGCAGAAUUAUCUAAAUCUCUGUUCAUUCUUAGAAGUUGAUGCGGGGGUUGAUAAUUUCUCAGAGAAAGGCAGGAUAAAAAGCUUUGAGGAGCAAGAAGAGGAAGCCAUUUAUGGAGUUCGGAAAGAGCUCAUGAGAAAUAUACCUUUUUUGGUGGUGAUUGAUAAUUUGGAGAGUGAAAAGGACUGGUGGGAUCACAAACUUGUAAUG
This 407-nucleotide unclassified non-coding RNA is filed under the name Hevea brasiliensis (rubber tree). The record is from RNAcentral. Lineage: Eukaryota; Viridiplantae; Streptophyta; Magnoliopsida; Malpighiales; Euphorbiaceae.